AUCAGUUCAUUACAAGAUUAUUACAGACCAGAAUUGAUAUAAAAAAAGUAAAAUUACAUCAGAAAUUAAAGAUUUCAACCAAGGAGAGCCUAAUUCAGACUCGUACUCUGACAUGUGUAAUACACCAAGUUCCAAAUAUCAGAUUCCGAUGUGUCAAUGUUCCAAGGAGCUUCAAGAGAUCCAGGCAAUGCCAGCCCUUAAAUGUCCAAGUUCAGAGGGAACUCAAUGUCCCAAGGGAAGGCUCAUAGGAAGGGGCGGGGGGUGGGGGGUGGAGGGGUAGAACUUAGAGUCUAAGAGUAAGUGAAAGUGCAGUAGAGGGAAAAUGGAAAGCUAAUGGUCAUGCCAUGCAAUUUGGGAUGCUGGCACACCCCUAACCAGCUUGUCAGUUUCUAAUUGAGGAGUUAGGACCUGUUGAAGGUCAGGUUCAUACCUGGACAACCAUUUGAAUGCUACCGGUCCAUGAACUUUAACUCAACAUACAUAAGGGAGUGGGGGUGUGUGGUUUCAUAAUAGAAGCAAGAGACAAGGAAAGAGUAGGCAAAGGGCAUACCCAGCAACGAGACAUACUGGCACACCCUUCAGUCUAGUUGGGGUCAAAACUUAGUUCAUGGACAACAAUUCUUGUUGGCAUGCCCUGAGUCCCCACUACAAACAUAUAGAGGGCAAUGUGAUAUGGAGCAAGUGUGUAUAAGAAAAGUAAAGCAGGCAGCAGCAUAAAAGCAUUUCAAUGUUAAAUUCUACAAAAAGCAGACAUAGAUACCAUAAGUAAACACAUUGGGAUGAUGCAAGGAAUUGAAUUAAGACAUACCAGUUUUUAAAAGACAAACAAAGAGAAAGCAGUAGUAGUCUUGUGAAAGCCAAAGUGCAGACAAAAAUAUUUUUAAGUGAAAGUUCAGAAGAGAUUGUGAAAAUUGUAUGUGUGAAGUCUGAAGUGUGUAUUCAAUUGUGUCCUCUUUUGAAAAAGAGGGUCGGGUAUUUAUAGUUUGAAAAUAAGUAGAAAGUAAGGGAAGAAUCAUAGUAAUUAUGGAACUAUGUAUCAAUUACAAUCAAUCAACAUAAGAAAUUCCUUUAAUUAAGGAGUUUAAACUUAAACGGUAAUGGACAGAAAUCACUUAAGGAAAAUCAAGUAAACAUCUUGUGUAAAAUAGGGAAUUAGGGGAAAAUACAUAGGGGUUAACUAAGGGAAACAUUAAUAAGGAAUCUUUAAAAUACACAGCUAGCCAAAUAAGGUAAGAAACAUAAUAAAUCAAUUAGUAGAUAGUAAAUCAAGGAGUCAGGGAUUCAAAAUUACAAAUGAACUAAGUCAGAAAUAGGAGAAUCGAAAGGCUAAAGAAAGUUUUCUAAUCGACCUAGGAAACGGGGAAAAACAGGGAAAGAAUCAAUCACACUUACACAAGGAGGUUUGAAAUCAGUCCAAAAAUUGAAAGUCAUUUUAGAGGGACAUUCAGUGUAUAUAAAGAAUGCACAAAUAUUAGGCAUGCGAGGUUAAACUGUGGUAAAGAGAAGCAGCAAUAAUAACUACGAAGCUUGUAGAUAGUGAAACAUGGUUGUCACAUAGGUCUUCUUAUUAAUGGGUAGAAGGGGGUAUCAGAAACAUGCCAAAGAGUCAAGUAAAAGACCCUUCUGGAAAGUGUAGUUUAGUUCAAAGAUUUCAAUAAAUGAAAUCACAUAGAGAAACAGAAGCUGAAACAAGAAGGACUUUGAAUCUAGUCGAGGAACUUCAAAUAGAGGAAGCAGUUUUCAGAAGCUCGAAUAGGUCCAAAAGAAUUAGGGCUUUGAAAUCAAACAAAUUUAUAGAAGAGGACUAAGUAAAUUACAUAGUAAAAUAACCUCAGAACUCAAAUGAACCCCAAAUCUUAGGGCUUUUGCCAUUAAUCGAGUGUAGAGAUGAAAGACAAGUAAUCAAGCAAAUACUAUUACGAAGAUAUUCAUAAACCUCAAAAGAAGCUAAGAUUCUUGACAUGCAAAUUCUAGUCAGAGAAUGACAUAGAGAUACACAGUAAGGGGAAACACAUAAGAAACACAUCAGAAGGACAACAUAAGAAACACGAUAGAAGAACAACAUAAGAAACACGAUAGAACAUGCUAAAAAUCAUAAAAGCUUUAAAAUAACUUAACAAAACCCUAAAUCGGAAAAUAUAAACGUUUAGAAAGCAGACUUUUGAAGGAAAUCUCGGAAAAAUGUUUAGAAGCUUAAGGAAAACCCAUAUCUACAAUAGAUCUAAAAGAAUAAGAAGAACCUCAAAGGUUAGGGUUUCAGAAGAAUCCAAAUGGUGAGAAAGGAUUGGAAAGUCAUGAUCUAAGUAGGAAAUGUCAAGAUCAGGCUUGAAUAACCAUGGCUGGUCGGAGCAAGAUCAGAGACAGCCAUAGAACCCGAACAAAGUCUGGGACAAGCUUCUUGUAGGUGUGACCUUGAAACCAUGGUAAUCAGGCGUGUAGGAGUCACAUGAGGUAGAUACAUGCCAUCAAUGGUUUCAGAAGCCAUGGAUUUGGUCAAUUUUAGGUUGUGAUUGAAGGUGGCGAGUAGGGUUUCUGAGAGAUUGAGAGAUGGGGGGAAUUCAAAGGCGGCUACAG
Molecule: long non-coding RNA, 2574 nt
Filed under: Nicotiana benthamiana
Lineage: Eukaryota; Viridiplantae; Streptophyta; Magnoliopsida; Solanales; Solanaceae
Description: long non-coding RNA (NBEN_LNC038519)
Source: RNAcentral